This 192-nucleotide unclassified non-coding RNA is filed under the name rhizosphere metagenome. RNAcentral's name for it is "partial ribosomal RNA internal transcribed spacer region". The record is from RNAcentral.
GAAAUAAACCUGAUGGGUUGCUGCUGGUUCUCUAGGGAGCAUGUGCACACCUUGUCAUCUUUAUAUCUCCACCUGUGCACCUUUUGUAGACCUGAAAAGGUCUAUGUUGCUUCAUUUUACCCCAAUUGUAUGUCAAUAGAAUGUUGUGCCUAUAUAAUAUAUACAACUUUCAGCAACGGAUCUCUUGGCUCU